RNAcentral lists this ribosomal RNA (253 nucleotides) under uncultured bacterium. RNAcentral's name for it is "partial 16S ribosomal RNA". It matches the Rfam family "Bacterial small subunit ribosomal RNA", at positions 524 to 776 of the family's 1533-position model. The record is from RNAcentral.
UACGUAGGGUGCGAGCGUUGUCCGGAUUUAUUGGGCGUAAAGAGCGUGUAGGCGGCUUUACAGGUCCGUUGUGAAAACUCGAGGCUCAACCUCGAGACGCCGGUGGAAACCGUAAAGCUAGAGUCCGGAAGAGGAGAGUGGAAUUCCUGGUGUAGCGGUGAAAUGCGCAGAUAUCGGGAGGAACACCAGUGGCGAAGGCGACUACCUGGCCUGUUCUUGACGCUGAGGCGCGAAAGCUAGGGGAGCAAACGGG